This 108-nucleotide non-coding RNA is filed under the name Nitrosomonas europaea. Its description in RNAcentral is "TPP sequence". It matches the Rfam family "TPP riboswitch aptamer (THI element)". Rfam says of the family: Vitamin B(1) in its active form thiamin pyrophosphate (TPP) is an essential coenzyme that is synthesised by coupling of pyrimidine and thiazole moieties in bacteria. The previously detected thiamin-regulatory element, thi box was extended, resulting in a new, highly conserved RNA secondary structure, the THI element, which is widely distributed in eubacteria and also occurs in some archaea. RNAcentral also lists the same sequence under 1 other name. The record is from RNAcentral. Lineage: Bacteria; Pseudomonadati; Pseudomonadota; Betaproteobacteria; Nitrosomonadales; Nitrosomonadaceae.
AGCUGUGGCUAGGGGUCCGCAUUUGCAGUUUUCUGCAAAUGCCGGUGAGAGAGUCCCUUAAUACCUGAUGCGGAUAACGCCGCCGGAGGGAAGCCAGGAGUCACUCUC